GAAUUGACGGGGGCCCGCACAAGCGGUGGAGCAUGUGGUUUAAUUCGAUGCAACGCGAAGAACCUUACCUGGUCUUGACAUCCACGGAAGUUUUCAGAGAUGAGAAUGUGCCUUCGGGAACCGUGAGACAGGUGCUGCAUGGCUGUCGUCAGCUCGUGUUGUGAAAUGUUGGGUUAAGUCCCGCAACGAGCGCAACCCUUAUCCUUUGUUGCCAGCGGUCCGGCCGGGAACUCAAAGGAGACUGCCAGUGAUAAACUGGAGGAAGGUGGGGAUGACGUCAAGUCAUCAUGGCCCUUACGACCAGGGCUACACACGUGCUACAAUGGCGCAUACAAAGAGAAGCGACCUCGCGAGAGCAAGCGGACCUCAUAAAGUGCGUCGUAGUCCGGAUUGGAGUCUGCAACUCGACUCCAUGAAGUCGGAAUCGCUAGUAAUCGUGGAUCAGAAUGCCACGGUGAAUACGUUCCCGGGCCUUGUACACACCGCCCGUCACACCAUGGGAGUGGGUUGCAAA
RNAcentral lists this ribosomal RNA (514 nucleotides) under Shigella flexneri 1b. Its description in RNAcentral is "bacterial SSU rRNA". It matches the Rfam family "Bacterial small subunit ribosomal RNA", at positions 907 to 1421 of the family's 1533-position model. The record is from RNAcentral. Lineage: Bacteria; Pseudomonadati; Pseudomonadota; Gammaproteobacteria; Enterobacterales; Enterobacteriaceae.